UGGGGAAUUUUGGACAAUGGGCGAAAGCCUGAUCCAGCAAUGCCGCGUGUGUGAAGAAGGCCUUCGGGCUGUAAAGCACUUUUGUCCGGAAAGAAAUCCUUGGCUCUAAUACAGUCGGGGGAUGACGGUACCGGAAGAAUAAGCACCGGCUAACUACGUGCCAGCAGCCGCGGUAAUACGUAGGGUGCAAGCGUUAAUCGGAAUUACUGGGCGUAAAGCGUGCGCAGGCGGUUUGCUAAGACCGAUGUGAAAUCCCCGGGCUCAACCUGGGAACUGCAUUGGUGACUGGCAGGCUAGAGUAUGGCAGAGGGGGGUAGAAUUCCACGUGUAGCAGUGAAAUGCGUAGAGAUGUGGAGGAAUACCGAUGGCGAAGGCAGCCCCCUGGGCCAAUACUGACGCUCAUGCACGAAAGCGUGGGGAGCAAACAGGAUUAGAUACCCUGGUAGUCCACGCCCUAAAACGAUGUCAACUAGUUGUUGGGGAUUCAUUUCCUUAGUAACGUAGCUAACGCGUGAAGUUGACCGCCUGGGGAGUACGGUCGCAAGAUUAAAACUCAAAUGAAUUGAC
This 567-nucleotide ribosomal RNA is filed under the name uncultured bacterium. RNAcentral describes it as "partial 16S ribosomal RNA". It matches the Rfam family "Bacterial small subunit ribosomal RNA", at positions 355 to 914 of the family's 1533-position model. The record is from RNAcentral.